GAUGAACGCUGGCGGCGUGCCUAAUACAUGCAAGUCGAGCGAACAGACGAGGAGCUUGCUCCUCUGACGUUAGCGGCGGACGGGCGAGUAACACGUGGAUAACCUACCUAUAAGACUGGGAUAACUUCGGGAAACCGGAGCUAAUACCGGAUAAUAUAUUGAACCGCAUGGUUCAAUAGUGAAAGACGGUUUUGCUGUCACUUAUAGAUGGAUCCGCGCCGCAUUAGCUAGUUGGUAAGGUAACGGCUUACCAAGGCAACGAUGCGUAGCCGACCUGAGAGGGUGAUCGGCCACACUGGAACUGAGACACGGUCCAGACUCCUACGGGAGGCAGCAGUAGGGAAUCUUCCGCAAUGGGCGAAAGCCUGACGGAGCAACGCCGCGUGAGUGAUGAAGGUCUUCGGAUCGUAAAACUCUGUUAUUAGGGAAGAACAAAUGUGUAAGUAACUAUGCACGUCUUGACGGUACCUAAUCAGAAAGCCACGGCUAACUACGUG
RNAcentral lists this ribosomal RNA (497 nucleotides) under uncultured bacterium. Its description in RNAcentral is "partial 16S ribosomal RNA". It matches the Rfam family "Bacterial small subunit ribosomal RNA", at positions 28 to 507 of the family's 1533-position model. The record is from RNAcentral.